CGCCCAGCAAUGGGAGCGGCGGACGGGUGAGUAACACGUGGGAAUAUGCCUUUCGGUUCGGAACAACUCGGGGAAACUCGUGCUAAUUCCGGAUACGCCCUUACGGGGAAAGAUUUAUCGCCGAAAGAUUAGCCCGCGUCCGAUUAGCUAGUUGGUGAGGUAAUGGCUCACCAAGGCACCGAUCGGUAGCUGGUUUGAGAGAACGACCAGCCACACUGGGACUGAGACACGGCCCAG
This 237-nucleotide ribosomal RNA is filed under the name uncultured bacterium. RNAcentral's name for it is "partial 16S ribosomal RNA". It matches the Rfam family "Bacterial small subunit ribosomal RNA", at positions 67 to 334 of the family's 1533-position model. The record is from RNAcentral.